Molecule: long non-coding RNA, 506 nt
Organism: Maniola jurtina (meadow brown)
Lineage: Eukaryota; Metazoa; Arthropoda; Insecta; Lepidoptera; Nymphalidae
Exons: 3
Source: RefSeq, a predicted model, not a curated record
CUAUGAAGGUUGGUAGGUUUCCGGAACGCCCCGUCCCAGCAGAUGUGGAUGCAGGGGUUCGUGCCACCUAUGUCGUUGGUACUACUGAAACUAGCGUUUAACUCUGUCCCAGCAGGUGUGGAUGCAGAGUUCGUAACUCGUUUGAGUACCGAGCGAAGGAAUGAAUUUACAAACAUAUGCUAGCCGAUAUAUACAACUGACCCAUGAUUCACGGUAACGCGAACUACCGGGUAACUAGCGCCAUCUAGUCUUCGGGUCGAGUACUAAAAUCGGUGUUACAGUCUCCCCCUCUGUCUGCGAAGUCGUCCCGACGAGAGAGACAGGAAGUCGGGAAGCUGGUUUCAGUUCUUCUGCGAUUUUGGAGGUCUUCCUCGAGGGCGUCGAGGAUUCACCGUUGUUGGUUGGAUGGGUUGCUUUCGAGGUCGGCCUCUCUUGCGAAUCACUUGAGUGGGCUGUGGUAAGUCGUUCUCUUCCAACCUCUUAAAUCUUCUGAUUACCGAGGCAUG